AGUAGUACUAGUAGUAGAAGUAAUAGUAGUAACUUUCAAAGCAAUGUCUACAAGUUUAAAUUCUUUAACCCUGUUCAAGGUGUAUACACACUCAAUAUUUAACUACAGUCCAGGUUUGCAAUUAACAAACUAUCUGAUAAACCUGUGUGUGAGUCAGAUAUGUCUGCUGCUAAUCUAUUGGUUAUAAAAUAUCACAGCCUUUUCUGAUUGGCUGAGUUCAAAUACAGAAAGUUUACCUGUUAGAUUGAAAUUCUGGCGUAUUGUAGAAAACUUGCAGGUUAAACUUGUUGUUAAAAUGAAGUUAAUGUAAUGUUCACAAACAGUAGAAUUAAUGAGUUUUUCCAUUAACAAGAAUUUCUUAAAAUAAUAAUGUAUGGAUAUCAUUUGGAAAGUGACAUGAAAUGUUGUUAAAAAGUGAUGCAUACAAGUGUUUCAGAAGUCUGUCUAGGAAUAGAACAACAACUGAAGCUGACCAGUUGAUGGAAGAUACUGCAGAGUUUGGCAGGGAAAUAACCCAAGACAGCAAAGCGGCUCUUUUGGCGCAUUUACCAAGAGGACUAACAUGGCCACAAAUUCAUGAGAUCAUGCAGGAGCCGUACAGUAUAACAGCAGUACAAGUUCUAUAAAAGAUCCACGACCUACUGAAGCCCAGCUAAUUAACAAAAAAGUUUUUAAAAACUGUAAUUUUAUCCCACCUGGGUACUUAUAAUUUACUAAGCUGCCUUCACAAGUUUUAGACUUGCAAUUAUAUUUUAAACUGUCACUUGGAAAGUAAUACAUGUACAUGCAUUAUGUUCUGAAUUUCUU
Dreissena polymorpha is the source of this 807-nucleotide long non-coding RNA. RefSeq lists it as uncharacterized. The transcript is spliced from 3 exons. Lineage: Eukaryota; Metazoa; Mollusca; Bivalvia; Myida; Dreissenidae. The record is from RefSeq and is a predicted model, not a curated record.